This 1308-nucleotide ribosomal RNA is filed under the name Staphylococcus aureus. RNAcentral's name for it is "partial 23S ribosomal RNA". It matches the Rfam family "Bacterial large subunit ribosomal RNA", at positions 1613 to 2925 of the family's 2925-position model. Lineage: Bacteria; Bacillati; Bacillota; Bacilli; Caryophanales; Staphylococcaceae. The record is from RNAcentral.
AAAAGCCUCUAGAUAGAAAAUAGGUGCCCGUACCGCAAACCGACACAGGUAGUCAAGAUGAGAAUUCUAAGGUGAGCGAGCGAACUCUCGUUAAGGAACUCGGCAAAAUGACCCCGUAACUUCGGGAGAAGGGGUGCUCUUUAGGGUUAACGCCCAGAAGAGCCGCAGUGAAUAGGCCCAAGCGACUGUUUAUCAAAAACACAGGUCUCUGCUAAACCGUAAGGUGAUGUAUAGGGGCUGACGCCUGCCCGGUGCUGGAAGGUUAAGAGGAGUGGUUAGCUUCUGCGAAGCUACGAAUCGAAGCCCCAGUAAACGGCGGCCGUAACUAUAACGGUCCUAAGGUAGCGAAAUUCCUUGUCGGGUAAGUUCCGACCCGCACGAAAGGCGUAACGAUUUGGGCACUGUCUCAACGAGAGACUCGGUGAAAUCAUAGUACCUGUGAAGAUGCAGGUUACCCGCGACAGGACGGAAAGACCCCGUGGAGCUUUACUGUAGCCUGAUAUUGAAAUUCGGCACAGCUUGUACAGGAUAGGUAGGAGCCUUUGAAACGUGAGCGCUAGCUUACGUGGAGGCGCUGGUGGGAUACUACCCUAGCUGUGUUGGCUUUCUAACCCGCACCACUUAUCGUGGUGGGAGACAGUGUCAGGCGGGCAGUUUGACUGGGGCGGUCGCCUCCUAAAAGGUAACGGAGGCGCUCAAAGGUUCCCUCAGAAUGGUUGGAAAUCAUUCAUAGAGUGUAAAGGCAUAAGGGAGCUUGACUGCGAGACCUACAAGUCGAGCAGGGUCGAAAGACGGACUUAGUGAUCCGGUGGUUCCGCAUGGAAGGGCCAUCGCUCAACGGAUAAAAGCUACCCCGGGGAUAACAGGCUUAUCUCCCCCAAGAGUUCACAUCGACGGGGAGGUUUGGCACCUCGAUGUCGGCUCAUCGCAUCCUGGGGCUGUAGUCGGUCCCAAGGGUUGGGCUGUUCGCCCAUUAAAGCGGUACGCGAGCUGGGUUCAGAACGUCGUGAGACAGUUCGGUCCCUAUCCGUCGUGGGCGUAGGAAAUUUGAGAGGAGCUGUCCUUAGUACGAGAGGACCGGGAUGGACAUACCUCUGGUGUACCAGUUGUCGUGCCAACGGCAUAGCUGGGUAGCUAUGUGUGGACGGGAUAAGUGCUGAAAGCAUCUAAGCAUGAAGCCCCCCUCAAGAUGAGAUUUCCCAACUUCGGUUAUAAGAUCCCUCAAAGAUGAUGAGGUUAAUAGGUUCGAGGUGGAAGCAUGGUGACAUGUGGAGCUGACGAAUACUAAUCGAUCGAAGACUUAAUCAA